GGGUCAGUAGGUUGGUCGUGCCACCGGUACGUACUGGUCUCACUGAUUCCUCCUUCCUGAAGAACCGUAAUGCCAUUAAUUUGGUGUUGCGGGGAAACAGGACUGUUACUUUGAAAAAAUUAGAGUGUUUAAAGCAAGCUAACGCUUGAAUACAUUAGCAUGGAAUAAUGGAAUAGGACGAUCGAUCCUAUUCUAUUGGUUUCUAGGAUUGACGUA
This 216-nucleotide ribosomal RNA is filed under the name Glomeromycotina sp. RNAcentral's name for it is "partial small subunit ribosomal RNA". The stretch from base 40 to 216 matches the Rfam family "Eukaryotic small subunit ribosomal RNA", at positions 686 to 864 of the family's 1831-position model. The record is from RNAcentral. Lineage: Eukaryota; Fungi; Glomeromycota.